This 1696-nucleotide long non-coding RNA is filed under the name Equus caballus (horse). Its description in RNAcentral is "lncRNA (ENSECAG00000049668.1)". The record is from RNAcentral. Lineage: Eukaryota; Metazoa; Chordata; Mammalia; Perissodactyla; Equidae.
CGCCCUGGUGUUUUCCUUUUGCAUAACGAUUGCCACGUGAGCUAGCCUCUGUUGCCCAUCGUCGUCAGUUUCAGAGGGUACAUUUCUCAGUGCUGCUUUUUCCCCAGGUCUCCACGCCCUUGUGUGUUUCUUUUGCUUAACGAUUGCCACCUGAGCUAGCCUCUGUGGCCCAUCUUUGUCAGUUUCAGAGGGUAGAUUUCUCAGUCUUGCUCUUUCCCAAGUUCUGCACGCCCUUGUGUGUGGGUUUUUUUUUUUUUUUUUUUUUGCUCAAAUAUUGAACCUAAGCUAGCAUCUGUUGCCCUUCUUCGUCAGUUUCAGAGGGUGGAUUUCUCCGUGUUGCUUUUUCCCCAGGUCUCCACGCCCUUGUGUGUUUCUUUUGCUUAACGAUUGCCACCUGAGCUAGCCUCUGUGGCCCAUUUUCGUCAGCUUCAGAGGGUAGAUUUCUCAGUGUUGCUUUUUCCCCAGGUCUCCACGCCCUUUGUGUUUUCCUUUUGCUUAACGAUUGCCCCCUGAGCUAGCCUCUGUUGCCCAUGUUCAUCAGUUUCAGAGGGUAGAUUUCUCAGUGUUGCUUUUUCCCCAGGUCUCCACGCCCUUGUGUGUUUCUUUUGCUUAACGAUUGCCGCCUGAGCUAGCCUCUGUGGCCCAUUUUCGUCAGCUUCAGAGGGUGGAUUUCUCAGUGUUGCUUUUUCCCCAGGUCUCCACGUCCCUCAGUGUGUGUGUGUGUGUGAGUGUGUGUGUUUUCUUUGCAAGAUUGGCACUUGAGCUAACGUGUGUUGCCCAUCUUUGUCAGUUUCAGAGGCUAGAUUUUUCAGUAUCGCUCUUUCCCAAGGUCUCCACUCCCGUUGCUCUUUUCUUUGUUUCUUUGUUUCUUUGUUCUUUCUUUUUGGCUUAAAUAUUGUCACCUGAGCUAGGCUCUGUUGCCCUGCUUCCUCCGUUUCAGAGGGUACCUUUUUUCAGGGUUGCUUUUUCACCGGGUCUCCUCGCCAUUGUAGUUUUUUAUUUUAUUUAUUUAUUUUUUUGCUUAACGAUUGCCACCUGAGCUAGCCUGUGUUGCCCAUGUUCGUCAGUUUCAGAGGGUAGAUUUCUCAGCGUUGCUUUUUCCCCAGGUCUCUACGCCUGUGUGUGUGUGUGUGUGUGUGUGUGUGUGUGUGUUCUGCUUAAAGAUUGCCACCCGAGCUAGCCCCUGUUGCCCAUCUUCGUCAGUUUCAGAGGGUAGAUUUCUCAGUGUUGAUUUUCCCCCAGUUCUCCACGCCCUCGUGCUUUUUUUUUUUUUUUAAUUUCCUUAAAUGUCGGCACCUCAGCUAGCCUCUUUUUCCCAUCUUCGUCCGUUUCAGCGGGUAGACUCUCCGCCUGCCUUCGACAGACCCUCUGCGCUUGAAAGCUUUCCUCCUCCCGUCAUCACGGUCCUUCUCGGAUGACGUGCCUGGUUUCGGUUUGACCGUCCCCGCCCGCCCUGAUUUUCUAAGUCCUCCCGGGAGCCCCGGGGGCGCUCCGGCCGCUCCGGGAAGCGGCGGCCUCCCGGCCGCACCGGCUCAGCCCGGCCCGGGCCGACCCCUGGCCUCUCUGGGGGAACUCUCCCCGUCCCCUUCCCGGUGAGCGCCCGAGAAACCUUUUCCGGGUCCCCCUCCUGCGGCUGGGGCUGCGCCUUGGCGGCCGGAGCCCGCGGGCGGACGCCCCGGGGCCGAGCUGGGCCGGG